This 265-nucleotide ribosomal RNA is filed under the name uncultured bacterium. RNAcentral describes it as "partial 16S ribosomal RNA". It matches the Rfam family "Bacterial small subunit ribosomal RNA", at positions 524 to 788 of the family's 1533-position model. The record is from RNAcentral.
UACGAAGGGGGCUAGCGUUGCUCGGAAUUACUGGGCGUAAAGCGCACGUAGGCGGCUUCUUAAGUCGGUGGUGAAAUCCUGGAGCUCAACUCCAGAACUGCCUUCGAUACUGGGAGCUCGGAGUCCGGGAGAGGUGAGUGGAACUGCGAGUGUAGAGGUGAAAUUCGUAGAUAUUCGCAAGAACACCAGUGGCGAAGGCGGCUCACUGGCCCGGUACUCGACGCUGAGGUGCGAAAGCGUGGGAGCAAACAGGAUUAGAAACCCC